GAUGAACGCUGGCGGCGUGCCUAAUACAUGCAAGUAGAACGCUGAAGGAGGAGCUUGCUCUUCUGGAUGAGUUGCGAACGGGUGAGUAACGCGUAGGUAACCUGCCUGGUAGCGGGGGAUAACUAUUGGAAACGAUAGCUAAUACCGCAUGACAACAGUUAUUGCAUGAUAACUGUUUAAAAGGGGCAACUGCUCCACUACCAGAUGGACCUGCGUUGUAUUAGCUAGUUGGUGAGGUAACGGCUCACCAAGGCGACGAUACAUAGCCGACCUGAGAGGGUGAUCGGCCACACUGGGACUGAGACACGGCCCAGACUCCUACGGGAGGCAGCAGUAGGGAAUCUUCGGCAAUGGACGGAAGUCUGACCGGGCAACGCCGCGGGAGUGAAGAAGGUUUUCGGAUCGUAAAGCUCUGUUGUAAGAGAAGAACGAGUGUGAGAGUGGAAAGUUCACACUGUGACGGUAUCUUACCAGAAAGGGACGGCUAACUACGUG
RNAcentral lists this ribosomal RNA (495 nucleotides) under uncultured bacterium. Its description in RNAcentral is "partial 16S ribosomal RNA". It matches the Rfam family "Bacterial small subunit ribosomal RNA", at positions 28 to 507 of the family's 1533-position model. The record is from RNAcentral.